AUUGAACGCUGGCGGCAUGCCUUACACAUGCAAGUCGAACGGCAGCACGGGUGCUUGCACCUGGUGGCGAGUGGCGAACGGGUGAGUAAUACAUCGGAACGUACCUUAUCGUGGGGGAUAACGCAGCGAAAGUUGCGCUAAUACCGCAUACGCCCUGAGGGGGAAAGCGGGGGACCGUAAGGCCUCGCGCGAUUAGAGCGGCCGAUGUCUGAUUAGCUUGUUGGUGAGGUAAAAGCUCACCAAGGCGAUGAUCAGUAGCUGGUCUGAGAGGACGAUCAGCCACACUGGGACUGAGACACGGCCCAGACUCCUACGGGAGGCAGCAGGGGGGAAUUUUGGACAAUGGGGGCAACCCUGAUCCAGCAAUGCCGCGUGAGUGAAGAAGGCCUUCGGGUCGUAAAGCUCUUUUGUCAGGGAAGAAACAGCAGCUCUAACACAGUCUGCGAAUGACGGUACCUGAAGAAUAAGCACCGGCUAACUACGUGCCAGCAGCCGCAGUAA
This 501-nucleotide ribosomal RNA is filed under the name uncultured bacterium. RNAcentral describes it as "partial 16S ribosomal RNA". It matches the Rfam family "Bacterial small subunit ribosomal RNA", at positions 30 to 523 of the family's 1533-position model. The record is from RNAcentral.